Molecule: long non-coding RNA, 211 nt
Filed under: Hordeum vulgare
Lineage: Eukaryota; Viridiplantae; Streptophyta; Magnoliopsida; Poales; Poaceae
Description: long non-coding RNA (HVUL_LNC016201)
Source: RNAcentral
UUUACUCUCUUUUUAGCUUUUUCCUUCAAGUUUGUUCAAAUAUCUAAUGCGUUGACCUUAUCAUACUGCAGGGGAUGGGUACACCCUCUUGUAGUCCGCAGGCCGAACUCCGUCCUUGGUGUGCUUUGCCGGACAAAUUUCCCGGGGUUUGUCACGUUGCCUGGUGAGGGUCAGGUUCCUACACUAGGAUUUUCCUGGGAGCACUACCAGG